This 478-nucleotide ribosomal RNA is filed under the name uncultured bacterium. Its description in RNAcentral is "bacterial SSU rRNA". It matches the Rfam family "Bacterial small subunit ribosomal RNA", at positions 9 to 523 of the family's 1533-position model. The record is from RNAcentral.
GAGUUUGAUCUUGGCUCAGGACGAACGCUGGCGGUGUGCUUAAUACAUGCAAGUCGAACGGUCCCUUCGGGGGCAGUGGCGGACGGCUGAGUAACGCGUAGGUAACGUACCUUUUACUGGGGGAUAACAUCGGGAAACCGGUGCUAAUACCGCAUAAGUCACGGGUUGAAAUGCCUUUGAUUAAAGAAUUUCGGUAAAAGAUCGGCCUGCGUCUGAUUAGCUUGUUGGUAGGGUAACGGCCUACCAAGGCGAUGAUCAGUAGUUGGUCUGAGAGGAUGACCAGCCAGAGUGGGACUGAGAACGGCCCACACUUCUACGGAAGGCAGCAGUAGGGAAUUUUGCGCAAUGGGCGAAAGCCUGACGCAGCAACACCGCGUGCGGGAUGAAGGCCUCGGUUGUAAACCGCUGUCGGCAGGAUAAAUUAGACUGUACCUGCGAAGGAAGCACCGGCUAACUACGUAGCCAGCCGCCGCCGUAA